CCAGCGAUCGGUUUUAAUGUUAAAUUUCAUAAACAACAAAAGACCUGCAAGGACGUGCUUUGACGAAGUGGUAUAUUUUCAUGUCUCUGGAUCAUCAAGGAUAAUUUAGACCACAAUGCCAAGAGGAAGAAAGAACAAGAGAAGAGGAAAUGAUUCUGGUUCUCAGCAGAGUUCUGGAGACACAGAUGAGCCAUCUCAAAGUGGAGAGACUGAAAACACGACAGAGCCAUCUGGUGGAGAGACUGAAAACACGACAGAGCCAUCUGGUGGGGUGACUGAUAACACGACAGAGCCAUCUGGUGGAGAGACUGAAAACACAACCGAGCCAUCUGGUGUAGAAACAGGAACCUCUGCGACUUAUGUAGAAACUGACGGCAAUGGUGACACUGAAGCUACAGCAACACCAGUUUCGGAAAGUUUUUCAGAAACUAUGAGUGCGUUCGGUGGUAUAGACAGUUCGGCAGCUACAAUAGCCAGGGACAUUGAAGCACUGAUCAACGAUUAUGGACGCAGACUGCGACUACUGUCAAACAGAAAAGGACAUCUCCUGGAAACAACCCGGAACCUGAGAACAGAGUUUGACGAACGUCUGGAUAAAUUACAGAAGGAGCUUACAGACAAGGUAAAUCAGACUUACAGCGAAGAAAAAAAGCAGCUGGAAACCAAGAUUGAAAAAUGUGCCGCCAUAAAAUCAGACAUGGAUGACGCCAGGGUUUCAACAGAGAAAGCGAUGGCUUCGAAUGAUCCGGUUGGAAUCAUUACUUCGUAUCAGAAAGGAACGGAGGCAAUUAAAGCCAGUCAGGAUACCAUUGAAGAAUUAAAGCAGACGCAUUCUAACCUGAAAGUUACUCACAAAUUUGACACAAGUCCUGAGAACUUUGCGAGUAACGGUUUGAACCUUGGAACAAUUGAAGUCACCAGGACGAAGAGGGAGUUCCCUAUUGCUAGCAAUGAUUCUAAACCUGCUGAAGGAUGAAAAUGUUACUUGUCUCACCCCUAUUUGUUUGAAUAACAGUUAAAAAAAUGGAUAUUUACUAGAAUAGAGUAUAUAUUCGAACAUCUGUGCAGUGGGAAAAUGGCAUUCGCCUUUCACAGAAAGUGUCAUCAAUUGACUCUGGUAUAUAUAUAUAUAAUUGUGUUUUAAGUAUUGUAAGUCCACUGGUCAGUACAGAAUUUUUGGUAGUUUUUGUAAAUCCACUGACCAUCAAAGGUCACUAGAGGCUUGAUGUGAUAUUGUAUGCCCACUGGUCACAAGAGACUUGAUGUCUUGUAAAUUGUUCCGCUGUAAUUCCACUGGCCACUAGGGUCUUGUUGAGAUCUUGUUCUUUCAUUAGACAGUAAGGGCUUUCUGAGGUUUUGUAAUACCACUGGUCACCAGGGGCUUGUAAUUCCACUGGCCACUAGGGGCUUGUUGAGAUCUUGUUCUUUCAUUAGACAGGAAGGGCUUUCUGAGGUUUUGUAAUACCACUGGUCACCUGAGGUUUUGUAAUAGCACUGGUCACCUGAGGUUUUGUAAUACCACUGGCCACUAGGGGCUUGUUGAGAUAUUGUUCUUUCAUUAGACAGUAAGGGCUUUCUGAGGUUUUGUAAUACCACUGGUCACCAGGGGCUUGUAAUUCCACUGGCCACUA
RNAcentral lists this unclassified non-coding RNA (1631 nucleotides) under Mizuhopecten yessoensis (Yesso scallop). RNAcentral describes it as "uncharacterized LOC110446975, transcript variant X1". The record is from RNAcentral. Lineage: Eukaryota; Metazoa; Mollusca; Bivalvia; Pectinida; Pectinidae.